RNAcentral lists this transfer RNA (73 nucleotides) under Bdellovibrio sp. SKB1291214. RNAcentral's name for it is "tRNA-Met". It matches the Rfam family "tRNA". Rfam says of the family: Transfer RNA (tRNA) molecules are approximately 80 nucleotides in length. Lineage: Bacteria; Pseudomonadati; Bdellovibrionota; Bdellovibrionia; Bdellovibrionales; Pseudobdellovibrionaceae. The record is from RNAcentral.
GGUAGGCUCAGCUGGUUAGAGCAACGGAAUCAUAAUCCGUAGGUCGACGGUUCAAGUCCGUCUCUCACUACCA